Molecule: ribosomal RNA, 497 nt
Filed under: uncultured bacterium
Lineage: Bacteria
Description: partial 16S ribosomal RNA
Rfam family: Bacterial small subunit ribosomal RNA
Source: RNAcentral
GAUGAACGCUGGCGGCGUGCCUAAUACAUGCAAGUCGAGCGAACAGACGAGGAGCUUGCUCCUCUGACGUUAGCGGCGGACGGGUGAGUAACACGUGGAUAACCUACCUAUAAGACUGGGAUAACUUCGGGAAACCGGAGCUAAUACCGGAUAAUAUAUUGAACCGCAUGGUUCAAUAGUGAAAGACGGUUUUGCUGUCACUUAUAGAUGGAUCCGCGCCGCAUUAGCUAGUUGGUAAGGUAACGGCUUACCAAGGCGACGAUGCGUAGCCGACCUGAGAAGGUAAUCGGCCACACUGGAACUGAGACACGGUCCAGACUCCUACGGAAGGCAGCAGUAGGGAAUCUUCCGCGAUGGGCAAAAGCCUGACGGAACAACGCCGCGUGAGUGAUGAGGGUCUUCGGAUCGUAGAACUCUGUUAUUAGGGAAGAACAAAUGUGUAAGUAACUAUGCACGUCUUGACGGUACCUAAUCAGAAAGCCACGGCUAACUACGUG